RNA transcript from Sapajus apella (tufted capuchin), 924 nucleotides. It is a transcript of the gene named secreted frizzled-related protein 1 pseudogene, with no coding region annotated. The record is from RefSeq and is a predicted model, not a curated record. NCBI's taxonomy places the organism in Eukaryota, Metazoa, Chordata, Mammalia, Primates, Cebidae. The transcript has a single exon.
AUGGGCAGCGGGCGCAGCACGGGGGUCAGCCGCUGGGCCGCCCUGGGCAUGCUGCUGGCGCUGGGCGCUGCACUCCUGGCUGCGGGCUUGGCCAGCAAGUACGACUAGUUGAGCUUCCAGUCGGACAUCGGCUCCUACCAGAGCGGGCGCUUCUACACCAAGCCGCCGCAGUGCGUGGACAUCCCCGCGGACCUGCGGCCGUGCCACAACGUGGGCUAUAAAAAGGUGGUGCUGCCCAACCUGCUGGAGCACGAGACCAUGGCGGAGGUGAAGCAGCAGGCCAGCAGCUGGGUGCCCCUGCUUAACAAGAACUGCCACGCCGGCACCCAGGUCUUCCUCUGCUCUUUCUUCACCCCCGUCUGCCUGGACCGGCCCAUCCACCCGUGCCGCUGGCUCUGCGAGGCCGUGCGUGACUCAUGUGAGACGGUCAUGCAGUUCUUCGGCUUCCACUGGCCCGAGAUGCUCAAGUGUGACAAGUUCCCUGAGGGGGACGUCUGCAUCGCCACGACCCCGCCCAAUGCCACCGAAGCCUCCAAGCCCCAAGGCACAACUGCGUGUCCUCCAUGUGACAACGAGUUGAAAUCCGAGGCCAUCAUUGAACAUCUCUGCGCCAGCGAGUUUGCACUGAGGAUGAAAAUAAAAGAAGUGAAAAAAGAAAACGGCGACAAAAAGAUUGUCCCCAAGAAGAAGAAGCCCCUGAAGUUGGGGCCCAUCAAGAAGGACCUGAAGAAGCUCGUGCUGUACCUGAAGAACGGGGCCGACUGUCCCUGCCACCACCCGGACAACCUCAGCCACCAUUUCCUCAUCAUGGGCCGCAAGGUGAAGAGCCAGUACUUGCUGACGGCCAUCCACAAGUGGGACAAGAAAAACAAGGAGUUCAAAAUGAAAAACCACAAAUUGCCCAACCUUCAGGGGGGUGUUUAG